Molecule: transfer RNA, 74 nt
Filed under: uncultured Synechococcus sp.
Lineage: Bacteria; Bacillati; Cyanobacteriota; Cyanophyceae; Synechococcales; Synechococcaceae
Description: tRNA-Ile
Source: RNAcentral
GGACCAAUUACUCAGGUGAUUAUAGCGCACCCCUGUAUAAAGGAGAGGUCCCUGAAUCAAGUCCUGAAUGGCCC